GAGACGAUUGAUAUACGUAGUCUGUAAUCGAAUACAAAUUUCAACUAUUUACAAUAAUCAGGACUUUGAAAAAUACAUAUAUAAAUUAACAUCAAUGAUCAUAACCGAGUUUGGCUUUGGUUCUCCCUUUCAUGCACCGACUAUAAUUUCAGGGAGCUGAGCUGGUAGAAGCCAACAACCAGCUAAGGCAGACGGUAAGUAACUACCACAAUCAUGUACAUAUUUCUUCUAUUUGUUUGUUUUUUUUAUUUGUUUUUCAAGAGGAAGAGUUCUCUUAAUAAAAGAUGGGUUGAUCUUUUUUUUCUUUUGUAAUUUUUUGCAUAGCAGAUGAUGUUAUCCGGAGGAAAUACUGGACCUACGCUUAUGGAACCGGAGAGGUUGAGUAAUAAUAUUGGAGGUGGAGGAGAAGAAGAAGGCAUGUCAUCUGAAUCUGCUAUCUCCACCACCUGCAAUAGUGCUCUCAGUCUCUCUCCCUCUCUUGGAGAUGACUCCGACGACGUCACUUUAUCUCUCAAACUGGGGUGAGCUAGCCUACUUUUGCUUUGCUAUAUAUUUCCUAUUUAUAUACAUAUCUAUAUAUAUGUAUAUUAUUUAUGUUGCGUAUGUCUCUUUGCUUUUUAAGUUUUGAUAAGAUGAGAAUUCAGAGAAGAUAUGCUUGCUUUAUUUAGAAAAAUGAAUACCACAGGGUGUCGUGUAACAAAGAUAUUUUCCCUUCCUGGUGCGGAGAGAAGAUAUGUUUGCUUUUAGAUUUAUUUCUCUACUUGUCAACUUGAUUCUGCGUUUCAUUUUCAACUCUAGCAAACCAAAGCGUUGGAUUUUUUGUCGACAAUAUUUUUUUAUGAUAGAAAUGUCAAGUCAUCAUGAAUUCUAGAUACUUGUACAAAGCCAGGUGCACGAUGAGAGUUUUUUUCCCAUCUGCUUCAAUGUGGUGUAAGUGCUCGUUUGGGCCCAACUUUUUCACCUCAUUGGGGCCCAAAGUUUUGGGCUUGCUUCGAUUGAAGAUGUUUUAGGGUUUGUAGAGCAAGUUUCUUUUGAGGUCUGUCUUUGGGGCCAUUUCAUUUUUUGUGCUUAUUUAAAUUGAAAGAAGUUAGUGACUUCCACCGAAAUUUCUCUCCCUCGACUAAAAUACGAGAGAAAAUGUAUUCCACUCUCCCUCGACUAAAAUAGCAUAACCUGCACGAGGCAUGUACAACUUAAAAGUUAAAACAUCUCCACCAACGUAUCUUGAUGCGCAGUUGCAUUCAUGGUAUUUUAAUUAUCCUUCACCAUUUUAAUAAAUUUGCUUAUCGUUUUACUAUGAAUUUCAGGCUUUCCUAAUUUCUCUGGUUAAGAAGUGGAGAACGAUAAGAGUUUACUCUCCUUGUAGCUAAAUAAAGAAAGUCGAGGUAUUAUAAGAUAUCAGUGAUUGUGUGUGUUAACUCGACUUUGUUUUGUAUCUAAACCUAUGUAUUACGUCCAGCCUGACAAAUUGCGCUUUGACUUGUAUUGUAUUUAGAACUUUGUAUCAAAAUAGUCUGCAUGGAGACUCUUGUGGAUUUUGUAUUGCUUCAAUGUCACAGCACAGGAUAACGUUACGAAAGGAUUAUGAGGUCUUGUUUGGUUGGUGGGUCAGUGUCAUAGACAUUAUUUAUUUAGACUAUUACAACUCAUGUCACGAAACUUAAACUAGACAAAAAGAAGGUAACCAAAUCAAUUUUGAAUGAUUACCUGCAUAUUUCCUAAAGAUUACAUAAUAGUAUAUUCGCGAGAUUCGUAUUUUUUUCGUGGAUUAAAUGCGUAGAAGUCGACAGGGGGAAGAUAAAGACAAAGCCAAGUGUCGCAUGGUGACAUGACAGCGCAUGACCUGUGUCAAAGGAGUUAAAAGCCCCUGCAUAAAUAUCUUUUUUUGUGUUCUUUUUCUUUUUUGGUAGCCUGACACGUAAUAAGAAUUAAACCGACAACUUUUUAAAACAAACUAAACUUAGAUGUAAGACGCCACAUUUUCUAUUCCCACGUUACAAAAUCAACGGUGGAGAUUGCAUUCAUCAACGUCGAGAGCAUCUGUGCCCGUCGAUUCGCUCAGGUUUGUUAACUUGUUUGCCCAGAGGAUACCCAAAGUAAAGCACAGGAUAAUAGAAAAAUAUAUUUUUUUCCAUAAAAGGGAAAAUUCAAUUUAAAUCCUUUCCUUUCUUGAACAGCCAGCCAUUUCUCUCUCUCGUUCUCCUAGUUUUUCUGUACGCACAACUUCAGACCCUGAAGGCCCCAAAAGAAGGUAAACGUUAAACGAAGAGGAAAACCCAUAAAUUAAUUAAUUAGGGUUCUUCUCCUCCUCUUCUUCUUCUUCUUUGUGCUCUGGUGCUCUGGUGCUCUGGUGCUCUGGUGCUCUAGUGCUCUAGGCAUGUUGUUGUGAACUAUUGACCUAUUUCGGUUGGUGGGUUUUUCCGGGUUUUGUUCACAUAGAUCUGGGGGCCAUUAAAUGUUUAAAAUUUAUAGAAGAAACCCAGAAAAUAUUUUGUAGUUUUUGAGUGUAUGAACAUAAUAAUAUAUGUGAAAAGUGGUUGGUUUGAAUUUUUUUGAAGGGAGAUGGUGAAAAUGAUGAGGGAGAAGAUCAAGAUCAAGAAGAUUGACUACCUGCCAGCAAGGCAGGUGACCUUCUCAAAGAGGAGAAGAGGGAUCUUCAAGAAAGCUGCAGAGCUAUCUGUUCUGUGUGAAUCUGAGGUGGCAGUUGUCAUCUUUUCUGCUACUGGCAAGCUUUUUGAUUAUUCAAGCUCAAGGUACCAGCAACACCCACCCCUAUACCUUAUAAUUCUUUUGACUUUUCCUUCCUUGAAAAAAUAACCAAUAUGUAUGAUCAUGGUGUCUCUGAAGUCUGAUGACUUGACUUCUCUCUAUGUGGGAGAGGGAGAGGGAGAGAUUCUGAGAUUCAGUCAUUUGGGUAGAAAUAUAUUUAGAGGAGAGGGAGGGUGCCUUUCUGGAAAUUCCCUGUCCUUCCUGAAAUUCCGUGGUUUGAACUGAGCUCACAGACAUUAUUUAUUGUGUCUAAACUUCCGAAAGAAAAAAAGGAGAAUCCAGAAGCUUAGAGAGAGAGAGAGAGAGAGUCAGUCUUGUAGAUGAUACUUUUAGAUAUUACUUUUUUGGGGUCGAUUUUUACUUUUAGAUAUACUCUGUCUCAAAGGCAACUAGUUCGAGGGUUACUACCUUGUAUAUAUACCACUCCAAGAAAAUAGUCUAUUUUUGAUAAAGAAAACUUCUAGUUAGGUGUCCCAGUUUGAGAAACAUUAUUUUUUUAGUUUUCCAUGUUUUUCAUGCAAGAUGUGGUGUAUAUAUGGUGAUGUUCUUUUUUACGUGCAAUCAAUUUUGUUUACCAUAUGCUAAACUCUGUAUAUCUUGUUCGGUAACUGGUUUUCAUAUAUACUCGCAUAGUUUAGUAUGUUGCUGCUUCAAUAUCAUGUCCCACCUAACACAUAUUGGUAAUAGAUAAUAUAUGAAAUCUUAGGUCGCGCUUAUACAGUGAAGAAUAUCCCUGUCCAAGGAGCUAAAAUUAAUGGUUCCCUUAUGAGAGAUACGGUAUGUUAGAUCAUCAGUCGAAUCAUACACUCAAACAACAAUACAGAUCACCAAUUUUAGAUUCAUAGUCUGACCACAUAAAAUGAUAAAUUUGCUAAUAAAAUAGCAUUUUACUCUUUACCAUAUAUAUACAUCUAUUUGUAUAUAUAUUAUCCUUUGAACUUAAGAUAGUGGCGGGUUGUGUUUGAAAAGGUGUCAAUUCAUUUUCCCCACCUAAACUACAAAAUGCCAGUUUGGCCAAGGGGAAAGUAGCACCCAACUCCUUAUAAGCUUUCGUUAGGUUUCUCAACUUCCAAAAAUUAUUGUGGGACAUUUCUUCACAUUCUCACACGCCCCCUCACGUGUGGCGACAUUUCAAGCCUAACACGUGGACAUCACAUUAGGUGACGUAGAGCAAGUGUGGACAUUGGGCUUCACACGUGAACAAACCCGCUAUGAUACCAUAAAGGAAGUUGAGGUUUCACCCCAAAAUCAAUUGGCCAAUAGGAGGAGUAACCCAACUCCUUAUAAGGCCGUGCUAAGUUUCUCUAACUUUCCAAUGUGGGACAUUUCUUCACAUUCUCACAGUUACAUUGAAUUAUGUGAUUUGUAGUUUUCUUACUAGGAAUAAAGUGAUAUGAUGAUAACUUGGGAAUUCAUCAUAGAAGCCUUGAAGACUUUCAGCAGGAAUAUGCAUGCAUGCUUUCCAAUAAGGCAAUGGGUGGUGGAGCCAUGACCAUUACAUGUUUUUGCCAUGAUUGCAUGAAAGAUUUUGUUAAAACCUAGUUUCAUACUUAGAUGUGCAUGCAUGAGAGGGAGGGUGAGAAUGAAAUGUUAACUAUGGAAUACGAAUUUAAAUAAGGUCAUGUGCUUCCUUUCAGUUAACAAAAAUAAUUGCACAUUGUAAGCGCUGGUCAUUUAUAUUUAAUUAAAAAAAACCUAGAAAUACUACCUCUAAGGUGGUCUUCUUUAACCCAAAAUACACUCCAUAUAUAAAAAGAAUACUCUUAUAUGGCGAUGGUUUUUUUUAUAAAAAUAUUCUGUAUUGUGUGCACGAAUUAACAAUUUUUUUUUUUAAUUUAAAAAAAGUUAUCAUCUAAAAGCUACAUCUAUUUGCGUUGGUUAUUAUCGAACAACAUUAAAAGACAGAGAAAUCAAAACUGUAAGUAACAAACACGUACUAAUGGAGGUCUUUAAUUCUUUAUGUCAGAGUGCAAUUUCUAAUCAAUUUCCGUUGUAAAUUUAAUUUAAAUGUUAAUUUUCUAGGUUUCUGGGCCUAAUUUGUCUACUUUUUUUAUUUUUUCUAUUUUUAAAAGUUUUUCUAAUUGUAUUUCUAUUAAAGCUCUCGAUAUUGCAUUCCAUGUUUCCAUUUGUGCAUGUGUACUUGCAACCAAUGCAUAAGCCAUAAAACGAUCUUGCAUUGAAACUAAAGAAGAUUUUGCUUUGCAUUAUUUUUCAAACUUUUCCAAGUUUCCAAGUAGAGCAAUGUGUCAAACGUUUCCAAGUAAAGGUUCCAUGAGACUCAUCCAUUCUUAAUGCACGGGGCAGAGGUUGAAGUCUAAAACCUAUACAUGACCUAGCCCGAAGCGGAUAGCUUUUCUUAAGGUUUUUAAGGGUUUAGUAAUGAUUCAUCUUUGCAUGGUAGCCUACCAAACCUAACAAUAUAUUCAAAGCAUAUUAGUCGACUUGAUGGUCUCAGAGUUGACGUCAGAGGAACUGUGACUAAGAUUUUUGAGGCCCACUUCUUAUCAGUUGACUUGAUACGUGGGUUUGCUUUGCUUUGUGUUCGAAAAUAUCUCAGCUGCUAUUGAAGGAAUUUGACUUGACGUUUUCAUUUGCGAUAUGUGAUUUGUGUGUUUUAAAGCCAAGCUGAUAUUUUUUUUAUUUUUUAUUUUUUUGGUUUGGGGGGAGGGGGUUCUUAGCUUAUUGCAUGCAUGUGUAGUUUGGUUACUGUUGAUAUUACUUUUUGUAAUAAAUUCUAAUGAAAUAGGUAAUAUAUUCUUUGUACUUGGUUUCUCUUGAGAUGAUUAGUCCCUUUCUUGGGUCUGCAAUAUAUAAUUGGAGGAAAUCAAAUUUUGGGUCUGCAGAAAAUUGGAAAUCAAAGUUUGCAUUAUAAUUGAAACUGAAAUUUCUCUGAUAUCUGGUUAUGUUAGUUAUAGAAACCAAAGUCAGAAAAUAAUUCAAUCAAAAGCCAUGCACACAUAUCAUACAAUGAUAUCAUUUAUUAGUCUUAUACAAAAAAAAUAAAAAUAAAUAAACAUGAGUGUAUCUCUGUGUUUGCAAACCAGAAGUUUGAAUAAUGGGGGUUAAAUUCUUUUCCAUGUUUUUGUUUCUCAUGUAUGCUUAGUCACGUUAAUUUUUCUGUCUAAUAAUUUACUAGUGAACAUGCCAAUUGAUUGUUUUUUUUAAUCCUUUUCUGUUGUGAAGUAUCAAGGAUGUUAUUGAAAGGUACGAAGUGCGCACAAAUGGUGUCGAAAAAUCGGAUGAACAGUCUCUUGAGCUGCAGGUAAAUGAGUUCAAUGAUUUUCCCUUUCCCCCUUUUAAUUGUUCUGCAAUUAAUUGUAACAUACUCUGUGAUCUGCACUUUGGAGCUUCAAAAUGUAUCUCUAUAGCAUCCGACGGUUCUGAUUGUUUGAACAUAGAUAAAAAAAGCAUUGUCAGACUCAUGUAUAUGCAUGCAGCAGGGUCGGCCUCUUGGGCUAAAUAUAUAUAGGUGGCUUUGAUAAGUCCCAACUCUAGUGGGACUUCAUCUGGUGUACAUAAAGAAUUAGCCAAUGAAAAAUUGGAACAUAGAAUCAUCAUCAAAUAUCAAUUAUUAUUUACUUUUACCGUUGGUUGUUUUCCAAGCGUUCCUUUUUUUCAUUUUUAAUUAUGCUAAAGGUAGAGUGUGAAGUAUUGUAACCAUUUGAGUUACAAAUUCAUUGUUUUUCAAACUUUAGUUUUAGGGGCAUGCAGCUGAUUUAAUUUCUUAUGAUAGUUGAGUUGGAGACUUCUAUUGAAUCGAUAUUACAGCCUCCUAGAGUAUCAGUUUUUUCUCCCUAAUUUUAAUAACUUAUUGGUUUAGAAAAAAGAAAAGGAACGAUUUUACUUUUUUGUUUUGAAAUGAGUGAUUUUCUGUCCAAAAUGUAGUACGAUUUUACUAUUAUGUUUUGACAAUAUUGAUUAGGGGUGGGAGGCCAUAGGCUUAAGUACAUCAGUUAAAGGUAACCAAUAACCGUAGCUCUCACGCAGCUGAAAACAGAGACCAACCGCACUCGCAUCUAGGCUCUCACACCGCAAUCACAUUAAGGGGAGGAGCUCCACCCCCCUUCUAACGUCCUCGUUGGCCCACUCUAUCUACACUGACUCGGUGGUAGCCUUUUACUUUCUUUGAGGCGGCUUCACUCAACUAUCAGUAUUCAGUGAUCAAUAUCAUGCCCAUACAUAACACCGAUCAUCUUAAUCCAAUGUAUAGGUCACCCCUUUUGUGGAAUUGGGCCCAGUUGCGUGGUGAACUCAGGCUUUGAUACCAAAUGUUAAGAACUCAUGGGUAGAAUUUGCCCUUAAAAACCGGCUUGUAAGGAAAGGAUGCCCUUGAACUCUUAAACCAUUCUAUAGGAUAUGCUCUUUUUCCAAUGUGGGAUCUUGAGUCCUAACAGACGGCUAAUCUUUGCCCCCCUCUAUUUUAAGCCCCUAUGUCUCUCAUCUCCUCUAAUUUCCCUUCUCCUCCUCUCAUCCCCUCACCCACACACCAGUUCCUUUCUCUCCCCCUUCCAUGAGAUUUGAAACCCUAAAAUCCUCCUCUCCCCUUACGAUUUUCUUAGUCUAUUGGCUUGUUGCAGCUGCUUCUCCCUCCAACCCACCCUCAUAUCUGGCUUUUGCUAUGGACGUGUGGUGGACUAUGUCAUUUAAUGGUCAAUUUUGACCCCCCCUGGAUCACUUGAGUAUGAUGAAUGUUGGUGGCUUGCUCCUCCAAAUCCAUGCUAUACAAAUCCUUGUUGGUUUCUUUGGACAUUCUCCUUCUAACAGCGGCGGCGGCGGCGUCGAUUCUGUUUUUCUGUUUUGGGCCUAGAAUUGGGCUUUUAUUUUCUUUUAUUGGUUGAGCCCUUGUUUCUCUCUUUUUGACUUUGUAUUGGGUUUUAUGCCAUAGUAGUUAUGAUAUUUAGAACAUACAAUCCCGAUCUCUUGGACUACAGGGGUGCAAGAGUUAUGCCAUUAAUUUCUGUCAUAAUAAUUAUGAUAUUUAGAACAUGCCUCUGUUCCAAAACUGUAAACCAUAAAUAUUUAGAACAUCAACGCAUUCCACAAAUCAUGUCUCCACCUACAAAUCACACUAAACUUCACCCAAAACCGUAAAUAUGCCUCUAUUCCAGGUAUAGCCACCUCAAAACUUGUAAUCGAGGUUCCUAGAAACUUCAUACCUCUAGUCCAGGUAAUUAAACCCAUAAGCCACCUCUAGUCCAGAUAAUGAAAUCCAUAAGUUACCUCUAGUAUAGGUAAAAAUGAAACCUCCACAACAUAUAUAGUCACACCAAAGUAUAUUGAGAUGAAACUCCAUUAACAAAUGCUUUGAAAAACCUAAGAAAAAAUGCUGAAUUUAUCAAGGGUAAAAUUGCCAUAUUUGUUUCAAACUAGCAUGAUUGUAGGAGAUGCCUAAAUUUUAGGGAGGUGCUUUCAUAGACUUCCAUUUCUGGAAGUGGCAUACACUGUUAAUUCAUUAAAAAUUGUGGACAUACAUGGUGGUUGGACUACAAUUGAAAAAGUAGAGCAUGUGGACUGCCCCAUAAUUUUUCCCACUUGAAUUCAUCCCAAUCGUGUCCUACAUCACAUAUUGUGCGUCUCUAUCAACGCUUACAUACUUGCAGAGAUCCAAACCUUGAAAGUUGUCUAAUCUCUCUAGGAACCCCAAACCUCUAGACGGUGACAAACUCUCACUUUGAUUUCAUUUGAGGCUUAGCCCCUACAUAGCCUUUUUUAAGUAGGCUCACAGAGAACCCUAAUUUUGUUAGCUACCUAAAUCCUGAAGAAACUAGGAAAUCAAAAAUACCCAGAACGACCUCAAAACCCCAUGAAGAGAACAGAAAACAAGCAGCACAGUACAGUCCCCAUAAAAAUCACCUUGCCUGAAUGUAUACAAUAUUCCCACACGAAAAAAAACUGUAAACACGGGUUGAAGAACUCCAAAUUUAGAGCUGCUGCACAAGACUAACAUGAAUACUUAGGUCAAAAUUUCAUUAAAUUCUUUAUCUCUAUAGAAGUAGAGUGGCAUUGCCAUAAAGUCCACCAAGGAUAAAAAAAAUAAGUAUCUUAAGCUCUAAUAUUUGACCUAGCAAUAUCAUGGCCUAUGGAGGACUUUGAUUAUGCGAUUUUAACGUGCCAUCUUCCAAUAAAGUAAGAGUUGGGAUACCCUAUGUGUUAAUAUUGUGCUUUAGAUUUAAUCUGUUACCUCAAUUUAAUCAGUACAAGUUCUUAUUCUAUUUGCCUCAAUCGAAAAUUCGAAUUUCUGCGAGUUGGGUUUGUUGCUGUUAAUUAAUUCCCUAAGUUUUUCAAAGGUAUUAAUGACUACGACAAAUUGUAAAUCCAUGUUCUUGUAUGUUCAAGUAAUUCCAUUUCAAAAAAAAUAUUGUAAUCCUUUUUUUUUUUUUUUUUUUUUCCCAUUAUGUUGUUUUUUUGUUUCUUUACGGGGCUGACGUUUAAAAGCUUUUCAUGUAACAGAGACAGAUUAAAUUCUCUAAAUGAUGGUUCCAAUAUUUCUCAUUUUAGCUGGAGAAUGAAAACCACACCAAACUCAGUACGGAACUUGAGGAGAAGAACCGCCAGCUGAGGUACAAAUUUAUUAAAUCAUCAUGAACUUGUAAGAUAUAUGUGGCUGUUUAGCUGGUAUUGUUGUUUGAUGUUUCUGCUGGAAUUGGACUGGCUUGCAACAGGCAGAUGAAAGGUGAGGAUCUUGAAGAGCUGGAUCUGGAUGAGUUGCUGAAGUUGGAACAACUGGUGGAAGCAACCCUUGUCCGUGUGAUGGAAACUAAGGUCUGCCCCUUGUGUAUGCAGAGUAUAUUUUAAUUGCUCUGUGUUGUGAAAAGCAAAUAAACUAACAUCUAAAUGCAAAUUUCAGGAAGAACUGAUUAUGAGUGAUAUUGUGGCACUUGAGAAAAAGGUUAGAUGAUUGAUACGUACUCUGUAAAUGAAAACAAAUUUCAGCAUAAAUAAUCAGCAUAAAUAAUCAUAACAAAGUUUGGCUCUGGUUUUCUCUUGCAUGCACCAACUAUAAUUUCAGGGAACUGAGCUGGUAGAAGCCAACAAUCAGAUGGUGAUGUUAAGGGAGAGGGUAAGCAACAUAUAUAUUGUUCUUAAUAAAAGAUGGGUUGAUCCUUUUUUCUUUUUUUAAAAUAAAUAUUUUGUAUUUUUUGCAUAGCAGAUGGUGAUGUUAUCCAAAAGAAAUACUGGACCUGCGCUUAUGGAGCCAUCUGAAUCUGCUACCUCCACCAGCUGCAACAGUGCUCUCAGUCUCUCUCUUGAAGAUGACUGUUCCGACGACGUCGUUUUAUCUCUCAAACUGGGGUGAGCUAGCUUUCUUUUGCUUUGCUAUUUGUGUAUAUAUAUAUCUUUGCUUUUUAAGUUUGAUGAGAUCAGAGAAUAGAAGUUUUAGAAUUUUGAAUACUCGGUCGGUUGUCGUGCAAUACAGAACAACUAGGAUAUUUUCUGUACUUGUCAACUUGAUUCUGGGUUUCAAUUUUAACUUUACCAAACCAAAAAUAUUGGAUGUUUUCUGUACUUGACAAUAUUUUUUUAUUAUAGAAAUGUUAUUUGAAAGUCAUCAUGAGUUUCAGAUAUUUACAGUAAUAUGUUUUUGGAAAAAAGAUAUAUCAUUUGGGGCUAACCAAAGUGUUUUCACCUCUUUACCACUUACCCUCCCAAGCAUUUUAAUUAUUCAUGGUAUUUUAUUUAUUCUUCACCAUUUUUAAUAAAUUUUCUUUUCACUUUACUAUGAAUUUCAGGCGUCCCUAAUUUCCUUGGUUAAGAAGUGGAGAAAGAUGAAAGUUUACUCUCCUUAUAGCUAAAUAAAGAAAGUUGUGGUAUUGUGAGAUAUCGAUGAUUGUGUGUUUUAAUUUGAUAGCAGAUUGAAAAUAUUGAAGGGAGAGUAACUUUGUGUUGUAUCAAAACAUGUGUAUUACAUGCAACCUGUGACAUAUUGCUCUUUGACUUUGUAUUGUAUUUAGAACUCUGUAUCAAUGCAGCCUGCGUGGAGAGACUUGUUAAUUUUGUAUUGUUUGGGUUAUCAAUGUCACACAGGCUAACGGUACGCGCGGGUCGUAGACCGAUGUGCUUAAAGACUUAGAUGUCUUUCUUCAUUGUUUUCACGUUACAAAGCUCAUUUCAAGAUAUCGUGAAGUUUAGUCCCACGAAUGACAUUAUAGGUAAAAUUGUUUAUUUAUACUAUUACAACUCAUGUACACCAAAACUUAAACCAGACAAAAACAAGUGAAAUAAAUUUUUAAUGUAGGAACCAGAAUGUUUAAGAAGAAACUCAUAUAAUUGUCUGCGUGGAUUAAAUCAACACAAGUGGCCUGGGGAAAGUAACCUGAGCAAGAUAAAGACGAAGCCAUGUGUCAUGGUGGGCUCAAUCAAGUGGCUUGACAGCGCAUGACCUGUGUCAAAGUGCCAUCCUCCACACCCAAAAAAAAAAAAAAAAUUUCUUCUUUCCUUUGUAGCCUGACACGUAAUAAGAAUUUUACCGACAGAAAAAACAAAACUUAGAUAUUUCUGACAAACUCCUUCACAAAAAGUCAGAUGCCACAUUUUCUCAAGUCACAUAUCAACGGUGGAGAUUGCAUUCAUCAACGUCAACAGCAUCUGUGCCCGUCGAUUUGCUCAGGUUUCUUAACCUUGUUUCCCCAGAAGAUAAUAGAAGAAUAUAUUUUUCCAUAUAAAGGAAAAUUCAUAAAUCAUUUCAUUUCCUUUCUUGACCAACAACAAGACAGCAGCAGCAGCAGCCAUUUCUCUCUCUCAUUUCGAACGCAGACCCCGAAACCCACCAACGAAGGUAAACAUUAAACAAAGAGGAAAACCCAGAAUUUAAUUCAUUAGGGUUCUUCUCCUCCUCUUCUUCUUCUUCUUUGUGUUUUGGGUGGUGGGUUUUUCUGGGUUUUGUUCAUUUAGAUCUGGGAACCAUUAAAAGUUUAAAAUUGAGAAGAAACCCAGAAAAUAUUGUAUAGUUUUUGAGUGUAUGUGAAAAGUGGUUGGUUUGAAUUUUUUUGAAGAUGAUGAGGAAUAAGAUCAAGAUCAAGAAGAUUGACUACUUGCCUGCAAGGCAGGUGACCUUCUCAAAAAGGAGAAGAGGGCUCUUCAAGAAAGCUGCAGAGCUAUCUGUUCUGUGUGAAUCUGAGGUGGCAGUUGUCAUCUUUUCUGCUACUGGCAAGCUUUUUGAUUAUUCAAGCUCAAGGUACCAGCAACAUACCUUAUAAUUAUUUUGACUUUUCCUUCCUUGAAAAAAUAACAAUAUGUAUGAUCAUGAUGUCUCUGAAGUCUGAUGACUUCACUUCUCUCUGUGUGGGUGAGAGAGAGAGAGAGGGGGAGGGAGAUUCUGAGAUCCAGUCAUUUGGUUAGAAAUAUAUUUAGAGGAGAGGGAGAGUGCCUUUAUGGAAAUUUCCUGUCCUUCCAGAAAUUCCAUGGUUUGAACUGUGCAAACAGACAUUAUUUAUUGUAUCUAAGCUUCCAACAGAAAAAAUGGAGAAUCCAGAAGCUUCCAGAGAGACUUUUAGAUAGGUUUUUUUUCUGUUGUCGUCGAAAUAUACUUUUAGAUAGUCAUACUCUGUUUCAAAAAAACCUAGUUCGAGGGUCACUACCUUGUAUAUCUAUCCACUUAAGGAAAAUAAAGUCUGCUUUUGACUAAGACAACUUCUGGAAAGAUGUGGUGUGUAUGAUGGUGAUGUUCUUUUCUUGUACUACAUGCAUGCAUAUGUAAAACUGUGUACGUAUAUAUCUUGUUUAGCAAAUUCUGUAAUCUUAAACCCUUAUACACAAGUAUAUCUCGCUGCUUCAAUCUCAUCCUUUCCCACCUAUCACAUGUUGGUAAUAGAUAUUAUAUAAUAUCUUAGGUGGGGCCUAUACAAUGAAGAAUAUCAUUGUCCAAGUCCAAAUUAAAAUUAAUGUUCCCUUGUGAGAGACACGAUAUGUUAGACCAUCAAUCGAAUCAUACACUCAAAUAAUAUAACAGACUUUUUUUAAAUUCAUAGUUUAACCACAUAAAAUGAUAGUGACUAUAGCUAGUGAGUGAGUAUUCGACCCUUUACAAUAUGUAUAUACAUCUAUAUGUAUAUAUGUUAUCCUUCGAACAUUCUUCCCACUUAAAUUAAUGUUCUCUUGUGAGAGACACGAUAUAUUAGACCAUCAAUCGAAUCAUACACUCAAACAAGAAAGCAGAUUAACAAUUCUAGAUUCGUAGUCUGAUCACAGGAAAUGUUAGAUAAUCUAGCUAGUAAGAGAGUAUUUAACUCUUUACCAUAUAUAUACAUAUCUAUAUGUAUCUUAUCCAUCGAAGUUAAGAUAUUUGUGGGUUGUGUUUGAAAAGGACCUAAAAGACAAAAUGCCCGUACAUUAAUGUGGUUGCAAACAUUGAAUUAUAUGUUUGUAAUUUUCUUACUAGGAAUAAAGUGGUAUGAUGAUAACUUGAGAAUUCAUCAUAGAAGCCUUGAAGACUUUCAGCAGGAAUAUGCAUGCAUGCUUUCAACUAGGGCAAUGGGUGGUGGAGCUAUGACCAUAACAUGUUUUUGCCAUGGAAUAAGAAUUAGAUGUGCAUGCAUGAGAGGAAGGAAAGAGAGGGAGGGUGAGAAUGAAAUGUUAACUAUGGAAUAAGAAUUUAAAUAAGGUCACGCAUCCUUUCAUUUAUAUUUUUUAAAAAACACACAAACUAGAAAUACCACCUCCAAAGUGGUCUUCUUUAACCCAAAAAUAUACUCUUAAGGUGGUCUUAUAUGGCGAUACUAUUUGCAAGAGAGUGAAUGUCGUUAAACAUUUUUUUUUUUUUUUUUUUUAAAAAAAAAGCUUUGAUACAAAUGGAGGUGUCAGUUAAAAAUAACAAAUUGGAGACGACAUUUAAUUGUUUAUGUCUGUAUGCAAUUUCUAAUCAGUUUCCUUUAAAAGUUAUUUUUCUAGGUUUCCUAAUUGACAUGUUAUAUGCAAAGUUAUUUUAUAUAUUUUUUUAAAGGUUUUCUAAUUGUAUUUAUAUUCAAGUACCAGAGUACUUGCAACCAAAACAAAAACCGUGAAAUGAAUAUUUUACUAUUACAUUAUUUUUCAAACUUCUCGAAGUUUCCUAGUAGAGCAAUAUUGGUCCGAAUUCUCCAAGUUUGGAAAAGUAUUGCUCUUGGAUAUUAUACUAUAUUUUCAAAGAUUUAUUUAGUAUUGUGUCGAAAUAUUUAUAUAGGAACUCCAAAGUCAUGUGUGUUCAUGAGACUUGCCCAAUAUUAUUAUUAAGUUUUGAGAUGUUUCAUUCAUAUUUGUAUUUUGAAACUCUUAAGGGCUUGUUUAGCGAGGCCAUGUUAUAACAUGUUGGAGUCCUUAGCCACUUACACCAAGUUUUCUUCCCAUUUUAGUCGGUUCACCACUUCAUAGUACAUCUUCUUCCCAUGUCUUAGGUCCACCACUCCCUAUGUUGUCACUUGGUUGUUUAAUGUUUUACAUGAUUCCAAGUUUUCUACUAGAUUUUCAUGUCCUAUUAGCCUAGCUUUGGGGAGUCUAGAUCCCCUUGUUCCAGUGGGAUAAUACUAUUCACUACAAGGGUGACUUUUUAAGAAAGUAACAAUCCUUUAGACCGAUAAGGAUGAUAAAUCAAGCUCAUAAUGUUGGUGCUAUGACUACCUAUGCAAGUACCAAAAAUGGGUCAAUUAAGGAGGUAGAAGUCGUAUGAUGAUUUUAGUCUUUCUAGAUGAUGCGAACAAAAUUCAAGAGCCGUGCGUCCUGUAAAAAGCUAGAUGAAGAUGGCUAAAACACUUGUUCGAGACACUACUUUGGACCUUUAAUAUUUUCUUCAAUUCUGUAAUUUGGUUGAAAAUACUUACAUUGUGGGCGUCUACUUGCAUUAAUGACGCAUCGUGACAAUCGGAUGACUAAAGAUUUAGCUUAAAACACACAACUUUGGAAUCCACCAUGAAGUAGUGAGGAAACCUUAAGUUUAUUGAUAAUCUGAAAUAACAUAACCUAACCCUAGCCACAGGUUAAAAAUUCUUUAAAUACCCUAGAAGCCCUACUAAUAAACAAGGAAUUAAAAUAGGAAAAAUUACAAAGUUUUCAAAAACUUAUAAGACAUAAAAACUGGAUUUUGGGUUGUUAACGAUCUCGGAUGCCUGAAAAAGCUGUUCUCUUCGAAUCAAUGGGUCAUGGGCCCAAACUUGCAGCUUUCUAAGUGUGCCCUUUAGCGCGCCUCUUCAACUCUUCUUCAAUUGCCUUCGACAUCUUUUCUACAUGAAUUAAGUAUGUUCAAAGAAGAGAGUUCUUGUCUAAGAUGUCUUAACCACGUUUUAGUAUUUCGAUCUCUAAGGGCGUAUUGAGGAAUGGAGAUGAUGAUGUCGGGACAUUGUAGAAAGCUGGUGUCGGGAUGAUGGUUGUGGAUUUAUUCACCUAGUAGUGACUUUUGAAAUGUUUUGCGCAAAAUGAGUGGCUUUCUUUACCCGUUUUCUAUUCUGCCUGAUGGCUUGUGAAAAUUUUGGUACAAACACUAACUUAACUAGUAUGUGGUUUAGUAAUCAAGCAAGCAAGAUCUUAGGCAGUAGAAGUUGCCUAAGAUUGGCGAGUUUUGGUUUUCGGAUGAUUGCCAAACCACGACAAGUUGGUUUGUUUAAUGGUUCUUUCUAGCUUGGUAUGAGGUCACUCUGGGGAGCUUGAGUUUUGGUUUAAGAUUUAACAAUCAAUCUAUUAGAAGAUACAUAAGUGUAACAAUCAAUCUAUUAAUAUUCAUAGGCGCGAAAGAUUUUUCCAAUGUAUUGUUUAUCAAUCUUUUCCACCAACAUCGAAUGACCCCAUACAAGGAAAAAUGAAUUCGAAUUCAAGUAAAUCUUUUUUUUUUUUUGUCAAAUGGUGAUAUUUCAUUUCGAAACCUCGUCAAAAAUGGGGAGGGCACAAAAACUACAAAACAAAGCAACCUAGAAAGGAAGCUCACUAAUACAAUGCGUCUGAUCUCUAUUAGAGAUACGAUAUAUAAGUUGGUCUCUAAAGAUAGUCACCCUAGCAUUUUCCAUAUAUAAAUGCCUUGUGUUGUAAACUAUCUCAGUUGCUUGUUGGGUUGGUCUUUUAUAUAUAUAUAGGGACAUUCUCCAAUAAAUAUUCAUUAAAUAUGUUGGUAGUCUCUUAGGGACCGUAUAUAUAUAUAUAUAUAUAUAUAGGUUUUCUAUAAAAUAUCUAUGAAGGAAUUUGAUUUGACGUUUUGAUUUGCAUAACCAAACCAUGCGAUAAAGCCAGCAGCAAAUAGCUUCACGUUCUCAUUAUGCAUAUAAAACAAGUAUUUAUUUCAUUUCAAAAUCUCCAAAAUCAUAGUUGUGAUGUGGUCUUGAAUGAAACCCUUUUCUGAUGCUAUCAAGGAACAGUACUAAUGGUACAAAAAUAUCCAAAUCUGUAACAUAUAUAUUUUUUAAUUUGUGGGGGAAGGGAGGGCUAAAUUAGUUAAUUUGCUUUUCACUGUUGAAUUUACUUUUUUAAUAAAUCAUAGUUAGAUUAUUGCAUGCAUGUCCAAAGUGGUUGGUUAGAUUAUUGCAUGCUAUUUUUUGUAAAAACAUCUAAUGGAAUUAUUCUUUGUACUUGUUUUCUCUUGAGAUGAUUGGGUUAUUCUAUGGUGUAGCCCUUUUUUGGAUCUCCAAUAUAUAACUGGAAAAAUUCUGGGUCUGCAGAAAAUUGGAAAUCCAAUCCUGGGUUUGCUUGUAUUUUGCUUUAUAAUUGAAAAUGAAAUUAUGGGUUUGCAUUAUAAUUGGAAACCAAAUUCCAACACAAAAAGUUCUGAAUUUUUUGCAGUGGGGGGUAAGUUGUAGAUCACUCUGAUUGCUGGUUAUGUUAGUUAGAGACACUUAAGUAUGAAAAUAAUUCAAUUUUUUGGCAAGAUGCCAUCAUGCUUUAUGGCUUAGCGUUGAAGUUAUGCCAGUGAUAAAUUGCAGAUUAUCAAAACCCUGAAUUAGACAUUAGUGUGUGUGUCUUGGUGUUUGCAAACCAGAAGUUUGAAUAAUGGGGUUAAAUUCUUUUCCAUUUUUUUGUUUCUCAUGUAUGUUUUGUCACAUGUUAGUUCUUCAAUGUCUUAACAAUUUACUAGUGAACAUGCCGAUUGAUUUUUAUUUUUUUUCGUUUUUUGUUAUGAAGUACCAAGGAUGUUAUUGAAAGGUACAACGCAGACAUAAAUGGUGUCGAAAAAUUGAACAAUCAAGAGAUUGAGCUGCAGGUAAAUGAGUUCAAUGGUUACCUUUUCCGUUUCCCCCUUUUAAAUUGUUCUGCAAUUAAUGGUAACAUACUAUGUAAUCUGCACUUUGGAGCUUCAAAAUAUCUCUCUAUGUAGCAUCUGAAGGUUCUGAUUGUUUGAACAUAAAUAAAAACAUUAUUUCCUGUUACAUGCCAGACUUAUGUACAUAUGCAUGCAGCAGGGGUCGGCCUCUUGGGCUAAAUAUAUGUAGUUAGGUGGCUUUGAUAAGUCCAUUUCUAGUGGGACUUAUGAAUUUGGUCUACAGAUGGAAGGAAAUAGUAGUCUUGGGCCAAGUCCUGGUGUUGUUUUGAGAAUUAGCCAAUGAAAUAGAUUCAUCAGCAACUAUCAAUCAAUCAUAUUUUUUUUCAGCAAAAAAUACCCUGAACGAUCGCAAAACCCACAAAAAUAAAUAAUAAUAAUAAUAAUUUCCCUUGUUGCCCCAGCACCAGAAGACUCUAAACACAAAAAUUUGGAGCAGCUUAGCACAAGAAUAACAUGAAUACUUGGGUCAAAAUUUCAUUAAACUCCUUAUCUCUAUAGAAUUUGAGUAAUCAGGAAAGAAACUCUGUUUUGGUGCUAGAGUAGUGGUUGGUUGGGGAGUAAAAAUGUUGAAGUUUUUGCCCUAACAAUAUGGAUGAGUGGUAUCCUGCCAUCUUCCAAUAAAGUAAGAUUCCCCUACGUGUUAAUAUUGUGCUUUAGAUUUAAUCUGUCAUCUCAAUUUAAUCUGUCAUCUGUUCUUUUUCCAUUUGCCUUUAUCUAAGUUGGGUUUGUUGCUAUUAAUGAAAUCCCUAAGUUUUUCUAAGGUAUUAAUGACUAGGACAAAUUGUAAAUCCAUGUUCUUGUAUGUCCAAGUAAUCAUUUGAUUCCAUUUUCAAAAAUAUAUUGUAAUCCUUUUUGUUUUUUUUUCCCCUUAUAUUUUUCGAUGCUGACGUUUAUAAGCUUUUCAUUUGACAGAGACAGAUUAAAUUAUGUAAUGGUUCCCAUAUUUAUCAUUUUAGCUGGAGAAUGAAAACCACAUCAAACUGAGUAAGGAACUCGAGGAGAAGAGCCGCCAGCUGAGGUACAAAAUUCAUGAUCUUGUAAGAUAUAUGUGGCUGUUUAGCUGGUAUUGUUGUUUGAUGUAUCUGCUGAAAUUGGACGGGCUUGCAACAGGCAGAUGAAAGGUGAGGAUCUUGAAGGGCUGAAUCUGGAUGAGUUGUUGAAGUUGGAACAACUGGUGGAAGCAAGCCUUGGCCGUGUCAUGGAAACUAAGGUCUGCCCUAGCUAUUUUAUUUUCUAGUAACCAGUGCCCUAGCUUCUUCUUUUUCUUUUUCUUUUUUUUUCUUUUCUGGAUGAUUCUUGACUGAAGACAUAAGCAAUGAACCGUUAGAAUAAUAUAAAGUAGGUCUUUGUUUGAAGAAGUAUCGUCUCAGUAAAUAGGGUAUAUUUUUAUUGCUGUAUUUUGUGAAAAGCAUAGGUGUAUUCUGAGUUGUCACUAAGCUUUAUUUUCUGAAAACUAACAUCUAAAUGCUGUUCCUUUCUUUUCCAGGAAGAGCUGAUUAAGAGUGAGAUUAUGGCACUUGAAAGAAAGGUUAGAUGAUUGAUACGUACAGAUCUGUAAAUGGAAACAAACGUAAAAUAAUCACGACUUAAAAACAUAUAUAAAUUAACAUCAAUAAUCAUAACCAAGUUUGGCUUUGGUUCUCUCUUUCAUUCACUGACUAUAAUUUCAGGGAACUGAGCUAGUUGAAGCUAACAACCAGCUAAGGCAGACGGUAAGCAACUACCACAAUCAUGUACAUACUUCUUCUUACUUUUUCUUCUCCUCUUUUUGUUUUUUGAGAGGAAGAGUGCUCUUAAUAAAAGAUUAUGGGUUGAUCUUUUUUUCUCUUGUAAUUUUUUGCAUAGCAGAUGGUGAUGUUAUCCGGAGGAAAUACUGGACCUGCGCUUAUGGAUCCGGAGAGGUUGAAUAAUAAUAUUGAAGGUGGAGGAGAAGAAGAAGGCAUGUCAGCUGAAUCUGCUAUCUCCACCACCUGCAACAGUGCUGUCAGUCUCUCUCUUGAAGAUGACUCCUCCGAUGAGGUCACUUUGUCUCUCAAACUGGGGUGAGCUACUUUUGCUAUUUGCUAUUUAUAUGCUUUUAAGUUUCAUCUGAGAAGACAUGCUUGAUCAUUGCUUUAUUUGAUGGUACGCGGGCGUCGUGCAAUAAGAGGGAGGAGGAUAUUUCCCUUCCCUUGUGUUGUGAGGGUUUUGCUUAGAUUUAUUUCUGUACUUGUCAACUUUAUCUUGGGUUUCAUUUUUUAACUCUACCAAACCAAAAUAUUUGGAUUUUUAGAAAAGAAAAACUAUGAAUUGCUUAUCCCGCCGACAUUUUUUUUAAAUAUAGAAGUAUUGACAAUUCUCAGAAGUCAUCAUGAAUUUCAGAUAAAUUGUACAAAAACAAUUGCGCGAUGAUUUAUUUCCCAGCAACUUCAAUAUUUUCAGUAAUACAGUAUAAGUGCUCAUUUGGGCCUAACUGUUUUCACCUAUUUACUACACCGGAGCUUCUACAAUGAGGAGUUUAGAGUGAGGAGCUUAUUUGAGGGGUUUAAUCCCACUAUCAAACUAUUUAAAAUGUUUAAGUUCAUUGAUUUUCUCCCAUUUGUUGAUGGUGGGAUUGAACUCUUCAAAUAAGUUCCUCACUCUAAACACUUCAUUAGAGCCUUUCCGUCUACAUACUAACCCUCCCAAUUCGAUUGAAGAUGUUUUAGGGGUUUGUAGAUCAAGUUUCUUUUGAGGUUUCAUUUUUAUGUAUUUGGGCCAUUUCAUUUUUUGAGUUUAUUUAAAUUGAAAGAAGUAAGUGACUUUCACUGAAAUUUCACAUUUUUUUAAAUUAUAUUUUGUUAUAGAAAAUAAUAGAUGGCUUAUGUGAAUUAACGUCAUCGUUAUUGCAUAGUAUGGCAAUCUAAAUAAAAUUAAUUUAAACAUUUUUUUGUAUGAAAAUAAAAAUAAUUAACUUUCCCGCAUUGUUUUAUGAAAAUUACAGAAAGCUUCAGUUGAAGAAUCCCAACACUGAAAGGGGCUGAAAAUGUAGGGGAGAAUUUAUUCCACACCCACUAUGACAGCGUAACCUGCAUAAUACAAGUUAAAACAUCCCCACAAACAAAUGUUGGUGCACAGUUGCAUUCAUGGAAUUUUAUUUAUUCUUCACAUUUUAAAUAAAUUUACUAAUCAUUUUGUACGUAUUUUCUCUGAAUUUCAGGCGUUAAGAAGUGAAGAAAGAUGAAAGUUUACUCUCCUUAUAACUAAAUAAAUAAAGUUGAGGUAUUGUAAGAUAUCAGUAAUUGUGUGUCUUAACUCGACAUAACAUUGAAAAAUAUCAAAGGGAGGGUGACUGUGUGUUGUAUCUAAACCUAUGCGUUACAUGCAAGCUUGAAAUUGCUCUGACUUUGUAUUGUAUUUAAAACUCUGUAUUAAUGCAGCUUGCAUGGUGAGUUAUGUUGAUUUUGAAUUUGCUUGGGUUAUCAUUGUCACAGCGAGACACGUACUGUUUGCGUGGAUUAAAUGGAUAAAAGUGAACUGGGGGGAAGGAACCUGAGCAAGAUAUAGACAGCCACGUGUCGCAUGGUGGGCCCAAUCAAGUGACAUGACAGCGAAUGACCUGUCUCCAUCCGACUCCACAUAAAAAUAAAAUUUAUUCAUUUUUUUGUAACCCUACACGUAGUAAGAAUUAAACCGACAACAAACUAAACUUAAGAUACUUCUGAACGAAAAAACAUAACUUAGAUAUGGACAAAAUCGAUCACAAAAAGUAAGAUGCUACAUUUUGUGCUGACGCAUUACAAGAUCAACGGUGGAGAUUGCAUGCAUCAACGGCAAGGUGCAUCUGUCCCCGUCGAUUUGCUCAGGUUUCUUACAUUGUUUUCCCAGAAGAGACCGAAAGUAAAGCAGAGGAUAAUAGAAAUAGAUGUUUUCCAUAAAAAGGAAAAUUUCCUUUCUUGAACAACCAGCCACCACCAGCAGCCGCCCUUUAUCUCUCUAGUUCUCUUAGUUUUUCUGGACAGACCAAAACUUCAGACCGGGCUGAAACCCCGACAAAGGUAAACAUUAAAAACAGAGAGGAAAACCCAGAGAUUAAUUAAAUUAAUUAGGCUUCUUCUUCUUCUUCUUCUUCCUCUUCUUCUUUUUGUUGUGAACUUGUGACCUAUUUUGGUUGGUUUCUUCUUCUUCUUCUUUUUGUUGUGAACUUGUGACCUAUUUUGGUUGGUGGGUUUUUUCUGGGUUUUGUUCAUUUAGAUCUGGGGACCAUUAAAAGGUUAAAUUUUGAGAAGGAACCCAGAAAAUAUUGUGUAGUUUUUGAGUGUAUGAAGAUAAUAAUAUAUGUGAAAAGUGGUUGGUUUGAAUUUUUUUGAAGGGAAACGGUGAAAAUGAUGAGGGAGAAGAUCAAGAUCAAGAAGAUUGACUACCUGCCAGCAAGGCAGGUGACCUUCUCAAAGAGAAGAAGAGGGCUCUUCAAGAAAGCUGCAGAGCUAUCUGUUCUGUGUGAAUCUGAGGUGGCUGUCAUCAUCUUCUCUGCUACUGACAAGCUCUUUGAUUAUUCAAGCUCAAGGUACCAGCACCCACCACUAAAUACCUUAUAAUUCUUUUGACUCUUUCCUUCCUUGCAAUGAUAACCAAUAUGUAUGAUCAUGAUGUCUGAAGUUUGACUUGACUUGUGUGUGUGUGUGUGUGCGAGAGAGAGAGAGAGAGAGAGAGAGAGAGAGAGAGAGAGAGAGAGAGAGAAUCUGAGAUUCAGUCAUUUUGGUAGAAAUAUAUUUAGAGGAGAGGGUGCCUUUUAUGGAAAUUACCUGUCCUUCCUGAAAUUCCAUGGUUUGAACUCUGCAAACAGACAUUAUUUAUUGUGUCAAAGGCAAAUAGAAGCUUCUAGAGAGAGAGAGAGAAAAUCUUUUAGAUAGUUAUACUCUAUUUCAAAGGCAACUAGUUCGAGGGUUACCACCUUGUAUAUUUUUUAUUAAGACAACUUCUAGCUAGGUGUCGCAGUUUGAGAAACAUUAUAUGAUGAUGUUCUUUUCUUGUACUGCAUGCGCAAUCAAUUUUGUUUACCAAGCAAAACUGUGUAUAUCUUUUUUGGACAAAGUGUAUAUAAAGAAGCUGUAAUCUUAUCCUCUCCCACCUAUCACAUAUUGGUGGUAGAUAUUAUAUAUAUAAAAUCUUAGGUGGGGCUUAUACAAUGAAGAAUAUCCUUGUUUCAAUCCAAGGUCAUAAAAUUAAUGGUUCUCUUGUGAGAGACACGGUAUGUUAGACCAUCAAUUAAAUCAUACACUCAAACAAGAAUAUAGAUCACCAAAUUUAGAUUCGUAGUUUGACCGCAUAAAAUGAUAGAUAGUCUAGCUAGUAAGAGAGUAUUUUACUCUUUCCCAUACCAUAUAUACAUAUGUAUACCAUAUGUAUAUAUCUUAUCCUUAAAACUUAAGAUAAUGGAAGGUGUCUUUCAUUCUCCCCUCCCAAACUAAAAAAAUGCCAGUAAAUUAAUGUGGUUACAAACAUUGAAUUAUAUGUUUGUAGUUUUCUUACUAGAAAUAAUGUGAUAUGAUGAAGCCCUGAAGACUUUCAGCAGGAAUAUCCAUGCAUGCUUUCAAAGUAGGGCAAUGGGUGGUGGAGCUAUGACCAUAACAUAUUUUUGCCAUGAAUGCAUGAAAGAUUUUGUUAAAACCUAGUUUCAUACUUAGAUGUGCAUGCAUGAGAGGGAGGGUGAGAAUGAAAUGUUAACUAUGGAAUAAGAAUUUAAAUAAGGUCAUGCUUCCUUUCAGUUAAAAAGAAUUCCGUUAUCUAGAUGUUCCUAUUUUACUAUUAAUAACAUGCGUCAAAUGAAGGAAACAGAUUAAAAGACAAUUUGAAAAUGCAAAUGCAAAUUAAGAACAAAAUUAAAAGACUUUUUAACUGUUUAUGUCAGUAUGCAAUUUCUUAUCAAUUUCUAUUGAAAAUUUCAUGUAAAAUUUAUUUUUCUAGGUUUCCGGGCAUAAUUUGGCACGUUAUAUGCAAAGCUGCUAGCUUGUCUAGUUUGUCUAUUUUGUAUUUUUUUUCAAGUUUUUCUAUUAAAGCUCUCGAUAUUGCAGUCCAUGUUUUCAUUUUUGCAACCAGAACAAAACAUAAAACGAUUUUACUCAAAUCAAUAUACAUUGAAAAACUAGAGGAGAGUAAAAGUGUUUUUCUUUAGCCUUAGAUUUUACUUUACAUUAUUUUUCAAACUUUUCCAAUUUUCCAAUUAGAGCAAUAUUGGUCCAAAUUUUCCAAUUAUAAAUAGGGCUUGUUAAGCGAGGUCAUGUUAACACUAAACAUGAUUCUAAGUUUUCUAUAAGGGUGGGUAUGGUCCGAUUCUCACCCCAAAUUAGAAUCAGAACUAUUCAUCUAGUUUGGUUCAAUUUGGUUUUGACGAAAAAAUUCUCCGGUCUAGUGUGGUACGAUUUGCCCAUGAGUAGGUUCAUGUCACAAUUUUGGAUCGGAAUCCCUUUUUAAAAUUUUUUUUUUUUGGGCUUAAAAAUUCACAAAUUGCCCAAUUUCAUGCAAAGAAAGGUGAUUGGGCCUAGAAAAGAGAGGUGAUUUGUAGUUGGGCUUGGGGAAAUAUUAAUUAUGGGCUUAGAAAUUUUGCAUUGGGCUUAAAUUUUUUAUUAAAAACUUAAAAAAUAAAUAGUCGGUUCGGUUUGGUUUAGUCCGAUUUUUUCACUACAAGAAUCGAAAUCAAAAUCAAACCAAACUGGUUUGGUUUUUGGUCAACUCGGUUAUUUUUUGCCCCAAUCAGCUCUGUUUAUGCCCACCGGUACCCUAGUUUUCUACUCGAUUUUCAUGUCCUGUUAGCCUAGCUUUGGGGAUGUUGCAGUAGGGCUUGAUUAAGUUAUUCUUCAAGAAUCAAUGGUUUAAAAGAGUCUAUUAAUAUAUCUACCAGGGAAUUGGCCUCCAAGUGAUGUGUGAAGUUUCCGACGUGUUUAAUGAUCUUUCUAGGGUGCAUCUGGCUUCUGAAGCUCUAAAGUGUUUGAGAAGAACAAGAUUAGUUAAGAAUGAAAUGUUAUAGUCUAAGGUGUGUUAACUACAUUUUAGUUCUUCGGUGUCUAUGGCCGUACUGAGGAAUGGAGACGAUCACGUCCUGACAUAGGAGAAAGAUGACGUUGGGCCGAUGGUCAUGGAUAUAUUCACCUAGGUAGAGACUCUUGAUAUUUUUGGCGCAAGCCAGUAGAAGUUUGAACUUGAUUUGCACCAUAAAAUUAAUAACAAUUCACUUAUAUGUGAUAUCGAAGGUGUAUGAAUAUGUGUCGUUCGGUAGUAUUAUUGGCAUAGGCCUACGUAGAGUUGCGUGAAUUGUCAGAUCUAUCACUACCCUGCAAGAAAAACUUGGAUCUGAUUCGUAUUUGCAUGGUAGCUGGCGCUGAAGAAUUCAGGAUAAAAAGAAGCCAAUCAAAAACACCCACUCACUAAAAAGAGGCCAACCAAAGAUAACAAUAUUCAAAGCAUAUUUCAAUGAGCUCCAGAGUUGAUGUGAGAGGAACUGUCUGUGACUAAGAUUUUUGAGGCCCACUUAUUAGCCGACUUGAUUUUCUCACGUCGGUUUGCCUUGUGUUCUAAAAUAUCUCAGCUGCUUGGGUUGGUCUUAUAUAUAAUAAUUCCAUAAAAUAUCUAUGAAAGAAUUAGAGUUGACGUUUUGAUUUGCAUAUGUAAUCAAACCAAGCAAUAAAACCAGCAGCAAAUAGCUUAACGUUCUCAUUAUGCAUAUCAAAUAAAAUUAUAUAUAUAUAUAUAUGUUAGUGUAUAUCUGUGUUUGCAAACCAGAAGUUUGAAUAAUGGGGGUUAAAUUCUUUUCCCUUUUUUUUUGUUUCUCACGUAUGCUUAGUCACACGUUAAUUUUUCUAUGUCUAAUAAUUUACUAGCGAACAUGCCAAUUGAUUGAUUGUUUUUUUUCCUUUUGUGUUGUGAAGUACCGAGGAUGUUAUUGAAAGGUACAAAGCGCACACAAAUGAUCUCGAAAAAUCGAACAAACAGUUUCUUGAGCUGCAAGUAAAUGAGUUCCAUGACCUUUUCUCUUUCCCCUUUUAAAUUGUUCUGCAAUUAAUUGUAACAUUACUCUGUGAUCUGCACUUUGGAGAUUCAAAAUGUAUCUCUAUAGCAACUGACGGUUCUGAUUAUUGUUUGAACAUAAAAUAAAAUAAAACAUUAUCCUGUUACAUGCCAGACUUAUGUAUAUGCAUGCAGCAGGGUCGGCAUCUUGGGCUAAAUAUAUAUGUAGGUGGCUUUGAUAAGUCCAUUUCUAGUGGACUUAAUUUGGUCUACAUAACAAUUAGCCAAUGAAAAAAUUGGGACAUGGAUUCAUCAUCAACUAUCAAUUAUUAUUUACUUUUAUUGUUAGUUGUUUUCCAAGUGUUCAAAGGAGAGGGUAAAUUAUUUUAUAGGUUUUUACAAAUAAGUCCAUUAUAUAGAGGCUACUUGAAGAUAAAAACCCAAAAUUAGUCACUUGUCAUUUUCUAAUUGGUCUUAGAAAAUUUGAACACACUAAUAACCAAUCAGAAAAUGACAAGUGGUUAGUUUUGGAUUUUUCUCUCCAAAUAGCCUCUAUAUGCGUUUUUGUAUAGUAUAUCAUGUUAGAAUGGACCUAUUUGUGAAAAGUCUAUUAUUGAAUUGUUUUUCAAGCUUUAGGGGAUUUAAUUUCUUAUGGUUUUUUCAGAACUCCAGAUAGUUGAGUUGGAGACUUCUAUGUGUCCCUCUCACUUUGGUUGCAAUUGAGGCUUAGCCCCUAAAUAACCUCUUUCACAGGCUCACAUAUAACCCUAAUUUUGUUAGCUACCUAAAUCCUGACAAAACUAGGAAAUCAAUAAAUACCCAGAACGACUAGGACAAAUUGUAAAUCCAUGUUCUUGUAUGUUCCAGUGAUUCAUUUGAUUCCAUUUUCAAAAAUAUAUUGUAAUCAUUUUUGUUCUUCUCGUUAUGUUGUUUCUUUGUUUUUUUUCAGGGCUGACGUUUAUAAGCUUUUUAUGUAACAGAUUAGAUUAUGUAAUGGUUCCAAUAUUUCUCAUUUUAGCUGGAGAAUGAAAACCACAUCAAACUGAGUAAGGAACUCGAGGAGAAGAGCCGCCGGCUGAGGUACAAAUUAAUUAAAUCAUCAUGAACUUGUAAGAUAUGUGUGGCUGUUUAGCUGGUAUUAUUGCUUGAAUUAUGUGCGGGAAUUGGACUGGCUUGCAACAGGCAGAUGAAAGGUGAGGAUCUUCAAGGGCUGAAUAUGGAUGAGCUGCUGAAGUUAGAACAACUGGUGGAAGCAAGCCUUGGCCGUGUGAUAGAAACUAAGGUCUGCCCUAGCUAAUUUCUUUUCUAGUAAGGAUGGUGCAAGGCUUCACUCUCUGUAUUGUGGUUUAAUGAUCGAACCCGUUUAUUAUAAUUUAGGAAUCCUUGUUGCAGAAUAGUCAAAUGGUGUUAGUACAAGCGAUAAUCUAAAUUAUUAGAGGGGGGGUUCUCACACACACUCACACGACUAAGAUACCAAGGGGGUUCGAACCUGAGACCUUUGGUCUGCAAAUUAAAGUCAUUUUCCAUUGGGUUAGACCCCGUUAGCUUAGUUAAAUGGUGCAAGACAUUGCAUUUGUGUUCCAAUAAGUAAACAACAGCAUCUCUACAAAACACUGAAAUCAUUACCAUUUAAUGAAAUGGUAUAAUAGUAUCCAAUUUUUUUGCCGGAUGAUUCUUGAAUGAAAACCUAAAUGAUGAACUGUUCGAAUAAUAUAAAGUAGGUCCCACAAUUGUCCUUUGUUUGAAGAAGUUGUUUGUGCAUAGAGAGUAUAUGUUCUGGGUUGUCACUAUAAAGUAACAUCUAAAUGCAAAUGUUCCAUUCCCUUUCAGGAAGAGCUGAUUAUGAGUGAGAUUAUGGCACUGGAGAAAAAGGUUAGAUGAUUGAUACGUACUCUGUAAAUGAAAACAAAUUUCAACUAUUUACAAUAAUCAGGACUUUAACAUCAAUAAUCAUAACCAAGUUUGGCUCUGGUUUUCUCUUCCACUCACACCGACUAUAAUUUCAG
Molecule: long non-coding RNA, 26949 nt
Filed under: Prunus persica (peach)
Lineage: Eukaryota; Viridiplantae; Streptophyta; Magnoliopsida; Rosales; Rosaceae
Description: long non-coding RNA (PPER_LNC001590)
Source: RNAcentral